CCUACGGGAGGCUGCAGUGGGGAAUAUUGGACAAUGGGGGGAACCCUGAUCCAGCCAUGCCGCGUGUGUGAAGAAGGCCCUCGGGUUGUAAAGCACUUUCAGUGAGGAAGAACGCCUGGUGGUUAAUACCCAUCAGGAAAGACAUCACUCACAGAAGAAGCACCGGCUAACUCCGUGCCAGCAGCCGCGGUAAUACGGAGGGUGCGAGCGUUAAUCGGAAUUACUGGGCGUAAAGCGCGCGUAGGUGGCUUGAUAAGCCGGUUGUGAAAGCCCCGGGCUCAACCUGGGAACGGCAUCCGGAACUGUCAAGCUAGAGUGCAGGAGAGGAAGGUAGAAUUCCCGGUGUAGCGGUGAAAUGCGUAGAGAUCGGCAGGAAUACCAGUGGCGAAGGCGGCCUUCUGGACUGACACUGACACUGAGGUGCGAAAGCGUGGGUAGCAAACAGGAUUAGAUACCCGUGUAGUC
RNAcentral lists this ribosomal RNA (465 nucleotides) under Vreelandella stevensii. RNAcentral describes it as "partial 16S ribosomal RNA". It matches the Rfam family "Bacterial small subunit ribosomal RNA", at positions 338 to 795 of the family's 1533-position model. The record is from RNAcentral. Lineage: Bacteria; Pseudomonadati; Pseudomonadota; Gammaproteobacteria; Oceanospirillales; Halomonadaceae.